GCUAUAGAAAAAAAUGGGUUGAGUGCUAGACCGGUCCGAGAACUGAUGCGAACUACCUAAUGGAUCGAACGUCGAACUCCGGGUGACUGGAUCGCCCCGGCGGGGCCGAGGACAGAGGGCCCUGAGAAGCGCAGCACUCCAAUAAUGGAUCCUUUUGUAGGCUCUGGCUUCAGCCAGCUCACUUUCUCCCUCACUUACCUCCAGAGGCUCAGACGCUUCGUCAGUGGGUUUGCCUUCGUCUUUCCUUUUUUUUAUUCUUAAUCAAAGCAGAGGCAGUUUCUGCAGCUGUGCGCUUCGAGGUAGCUCGGGUUCUCCUAACUGAAGACAUUGCGGACUUAGGGGUAGGGGGUUUAGCACUUUUGUCUACAAAAUAGAAAAACAACUCAUUUUUUGACCGCGGGAGUUAAACAACGAAAGACCGAAAAGGAGAUACCUUUCUUGGGUUUCUUUUCUUGGGAGGAUAAAGUUGACUCGACGAGGGCUCUGGGACGGAUUCCUUGGUCUUGCUCUUUCCUUUCUGGGAUUUUUCGGUCGGGAUUCUCCUUUUUACAUCUCCAGGUGAGAUGGCUUCGAUUGGCUUGAAAGCAAGGUUUUUAUUCCUCCGACCACCAUGUUCUAAAUUCCGUGGUCAUUCCUGGCGUAUUGGACAGGUUGUUUAAGUCGAAGCCGCUUUUUAGAAGUAAGAGUUUCCGUUGAAGAAAGAAGGGGGAAGGAUGAAAAUCCAACGCUUAGCCAACCAUCUAUCUUAAAUAGUCUAGAAUCAAUCUAUUUAUGUCUAAUCUUGCUUUCUAUCUAACUGGAUAGAUCUUCUUCCUAUUUCUAGGAGCUUCUAGGUCAGGGAAAAAUGACAAGUUUCGUAUGAAAGGGAGAGGUGCUGCUGCUUACGUCCUUUCCCCGGAGCAGCAACUGAAAGAGAAAAGACCGGGUAUGCCUGAAAACCUGAAACGGAUUCGUGAACAACAGAUAACAGAUAUACCCCGGAUACCAUUUGAACCAGAGCUGAACCAUUGAAAUUACCCGAGAGUCACUCCAGAAGACCUCGAGUCACUGGCUGCCUUUAGAGCAGACUAAGAAUCAGGUACGGAAGGAAGUGAAGGUGAAGCAGGCUUGCGGGCUAGGCUUUCUCAGGCUUGACAAUAUGACAGGGCCUUUGAGCCUGGGCUUUCUUCUUUAAAGCCUCACGCCGGGUAUGAACUCGAUUGUUGGUCGGAUCUUGCUGGGUAUUCCCACUUUGCUUGGAUGGCGCCUUUCGCCUUUGAUUAGGACUUUUCCGCAUUUCAUCUCAAAGAGGAUCUAAGCUAACUAAGCUAAACAGUGCUUUUCUCUUUAAGAGCUGGUGCAAGAAGGCCUCCGGACAAAGGCAUGAAUACUAAGAGAGGAAGAAAAGAAACCUCCCAAAAUUCGUGUUGUACUGUAUUAGUGGAGGCGGUAGAAGCCUUAAUAUAACGCGAUAUAAAGAGAAAAAGAUGGUUUAAACUAUAUUGUCCCAGUUGGAGUUCUGACUAUAGCUGCAACCUAUCUCAUAUUGGGGAGAAGUGUACCCUACUGUAUCGAAAAGAAUGCAUUGGAUUCAUUCUAUUCUCCCAUGUCUUUCUUGGUUGGAAAAAACCAACCGGCGAUUUCCGACAAGUCUCUCUUCAGUUUGAGAGGGGAGCAGUCAAAAAUGAACUAUAUGGACAGACGUGAGAAUCAAAUUGCACUCUUCAAUUCUCUAUCGGCAUUAGCCAAUUCCGUAUGGAGGGGCAAAACCCCGAAGAUCCUAUGUCAGAAUGCUUUGAGUUCCGCUCAAAGCUGCCUCUAUGCGCGUAUGUCGGAACUUCUUCCAUUUAGACAAAAUCCACUUCCAAAUGAUUGGACGCUACCGGCCUUUUGCCGGGAAGUGAUUGGAGAUACCGACAACUUACCUAUUGUUUUAGAUGCCCUAAGGUAAGGGAUCUUUAUUUCCAUGGGCCAACGGGUGAAUGCUACAUACAGGCCAUGGCUGUCUACGUCAAUCUUUUGGGAGGGAUGUAGUAAGUUGUAGGACUUUCAUUUCUUCUUUUGUUUGUGCAUCUUUCCCAUGCUUUGGUAAUAGUUCUCUAUAGAGAACUAUAGUUGUUCACUCCUCGUACAGGAAGGAGUCUCUUUCUGGAAUAAUUUCUUUUUUCUCAAAUGCCUCAACUGGAGAAGAAGUCGUUUAUGAUUGAAUCUCAGAGGCAUUCUUAUCAUUUGGUAGAUCCAAGUCCACAGACUCUCCUUUUCUUUAAGCAAUGUGGCGACUCUGGUGAUUUGUAGAGAAUCACCAGAAGCAGUCAUGUUGUCUUUAUUAAUCCUAGGUCUUGCAUUUCUCCCUUUUCUUCCUUAUGAUAUCGCUUUUCUAGCCCUGCUAGUCGGGCGAUACUUUUUUCAUCCAAAAAUGCAAGACUUGGCACUUUCCCUUCUAAUUCAGAUAAUCUUACUCGAUAUCUUCUUCUUUUUAUCAAAAAAGAAAAGCAUCUUCUUUUUAUUGCUUUUCAGUCUCCUUCUUUUAUUACUCCAUGGGUCUUAUGAUCCGAUGGAUACUGGUGUUACAUUAAAACGACUACUGCCCAUGGCAGGGGGAUGCGCCGCGCCUUCUAUUUUUGGUUUUGCGCCACCACGCCGAAGGCGCAAAUCCUCUCCUAUUUCAGAUUUUUAUGAACGUUCUUCUUAUCCUUUGUAUUCUGAAGGACGUUCAGAACACUUUCUGUUUCUGUGUGUUUCAUUUUAGCACACUAGUCUUCUUAUUAUUACUCAGUAAAAUCCGGGGGCAACCCCUAUCGCAAGUCCUUAAUGAAACAAAGGAACAAAUGUUGGCGCUUUUCCUUUUAUUCUUGAGCCUUUCCCCGGUUGGUUAACCCAUUGGAUUUCUGGUAUGAUAUAUCAAUUCUCAUGGACUCCGCAUAAUUUUUCAAUUAAGAACCGAAUCGGCCUCGGAUUUCUUUAACUAUAAUCUAAAAAAGGAAAGGAUUGUUCUUUCAUUCCUUUUCCUCUCCCUUUUUCUUCUUUUUUCUAUUCAAAUAAAAAAGAAAAAAAGAAUCUCCAGGUAUCCCUAUAUCAAGUAGUACGAGAUCUUUGAUUUGCAACAUCAGUCUCUCUCCGGAGAGCCCUCUGCUGACCGAACCUACUGUUAUGAAGGCAAGCAACCACAAUGGAGUAGGGCUUCUAAGUGCGUAGUCUGUUUCCAAGCUCUGAUAAGCGAGUCAAGCUUUCUCAUCUCAGGAACAAGUCGACUAAGGCGAUGGGGCAUAUCCGAUCUUCCAAUCGUUGAUCUAGUUGAAAAUGAGCAAAUGAAAUUUCUCUAUAAAUAAGGAAAGAAAGGCUAGUCCUACUGACACUGAACCUGGCUGGCCCCCCCCUCCAAUCCCUCGGCUGAACCUUCUGAGGCCGUGACGACUUUCCGCGGGUCUCUCGUCGAAAUGAGAAGCUAGCGAAACAGCGGUUGGUGUGCAGUCAACUACGUCGAACCUCACUCUGUCCCCUUAAUUAGGAAUUAUAAAGAUUUCUCUUUGAUUUUUAUAGGUGAAUCAGGUUUUCUGUGUAAUCUGAGGAGAUUCGUUUCCCCUUUCUUAUAAUUACGUAUAAUAAUUAUAUAGGGAGGGAUCGAACUCGCUUUGCGCCACCCUAUCCCGGUGCCAAAAAGGAGUCCCUAGCAGUACCGACUGUUGUGUCUUCGGCAUCGAAAGCAGCAGCAGUCACCUCAAAUGGGUUGGGUUCGCUCGAAGUCGUCGCGAGCCCUACGUUUGAAGCUUCAACACAGUCACUCCUUAGUAUUAGUAGCUCGUUGCUACAACUUCUCUUUGGCUCGCCCCUAUCUCUUCUCUAAAGGGGCUUACUCACUUCACUCGCUCUUGUUCAGUAGCGGUUUAUUCAUUCUUUAGAUAGCAGCGCGAGAGCUCUGAACUUUCAUUCAGGUCUUUAGUUCCAGUCGAAUCGCGAGCAAAGCUCGACACUGCUAGCGAAGCUCUACGACAGAGCAUUUCCAUUAUUUCAAUUAUAGAACCAACUGCUCUCUCUUUCCGGCUUAGCCUACCUUAUCUUCUAUCCCCCUGGUGUACGAAAGCAGCGAAGGAAGAGGAGCACAACCGUCACUUGCGAAGCGAACAAAGAAAAAAAACGCUCAAACAAAGCAAAGGGGCGCUCGUACACUCUCCGUUCUGUGGUGCCCCUAGCGCAGCGCUCAAACAAGCCCUCUGAUCCUGAGGUGAGGGUGCGAUGCCUAUCGAAAUCACAAAAGGUGCAAAACCGGAUCCGCGUCAAAUGAAAAGUGUCUUGGCAUUGGCCGAUUCCGUUGCCGAAAACUGCUUGUUAUGACCCGGGGUCGGACGUUGUUUUUUAUGGGAAGACAUCGCGUUACUAGUCGAUUUAAGAUAACGAAAGGCUUUUCUUUUCCAGCUGCCAAUAGAAAUAGAAAUCGGAAUCAGAAUAGUAAAGCAAGCAAUAGGAACUGGUACAUAAGCACAAGCAAUCGGAUCUCCUCGGGUCAAGUCAGCACACCCGCUGUAAGUAAAGCCAUCUGGAAUAGGAAAGCAAGUAGGAAGAAUAUGAAUAGGAGUCAGUCUUGACUAAGCUCAUUCCGACUCUCACCCGUCUCCAAGAAUGCUACGACGCUAUGCAUCCGCGCACUGGAGUUUUCUACGAUGGAUUGAAUCCUUCCUUCCAAUUCGAAUUGUUUUUCUACUCGUUCCUUGUCCCUUUUUUACUUUUAGGCACCAUUCAGUAUUUCAGUGAUACUGAGUGAGUGAGGGUGGGGAGAUUGCUCUCCCGCACACGCUGAGCGCCUCCGAAUGGAGUGUUGUUUAGCUGUGUCUAGACGCGACAUAAUCAGCAGUGAUCUAUGAUUAUGUUUACGUCGUCUUAGUUCCUUUUGGUUAGGUUAACCCUUAACCUCAGUGACUAAGAUUCCAAAGUUAGCAUCUUGGACGCCCCCCCCUGUGUAGUGUUAUAGCUACGCAAUAGGGCGAGUCAAAUGUUACAUGAGUAUUCAUAAUGACUCCUUAAGUAGCCUGGUGCAAAAGCCCAACGACUAGUAAGUGUAGUUAAUUAUGUCUAAAACUUUCUUUAAAUUAAAUGGUUGGAUAUUAUUGAAAGGCUAAGUGUGCUUAUGAACAUAGGAUUUCACCGGUUCCAGAGAACCAGAUAGGAAGAAAAGACCCAGAGGAUUCUUUUGAAGCAGCAUGACUAGACUCACGGAUUUGUCUUGAAAACUUUUUAUCAUAGGUAGUUGGAGUACCAAACCGGUCUAAUCUCUUUCUACGGCAAGCGCCAUCGCCUUUUUCACUCUGGAUUUGACCUCAGUAGCAUUCCAUUCCCAACUACAUGCUUUGAUUCUUCAUUUUUGUGAACCUUUUUCCUAUCUCUGAAGUGUAUCCGCUGCUCCCCGCCGGUAUAGGUCUAAGGGCGUUUUGUCCCCUAUCUCUCAAUAGCACGGAACAAGAUAUAUAUAUGUUGUGGCGCUUUCGCCGCCUAUUCUAUGAUAAAUAUAUAGUAUAGUAAGGCGGAGAACUGUUGUUCGUUGGAGCGCCGGAGUGCGGAGGUUGUUCCCAUCAUUGAAGUCAGAGUGUGGGACUGAGUCUUCUGAAUGAUAAAGACCAAAAAGUACUUAGUUUUGUUGGAAAAAUCAACGCAAAUCUGAUCUUUCUUUUCUCUCGGGCUAGAACUUUCUUCAAUUAUCUCCUUUAGAAAGCUGCGAAAGGCCCGGCCCUGAACAUCCCUUUUUCUCGAAUGAAAGACCCUCGCCCCGCUUCCUAUCGAUAUGGCGGAUGCGAGGCGAAAUCAAAGUCAUCAAAUACUCUUGACUAGCUAGCAGGUUGGCUAAAGCGAACUGACCACAGCUCAAUGAGGUACCAAGACCACCCACAAACCAUUGAAUCAGCAUCAUAAAGAAAAUCCUCCUUUUCAGAAUAAAGGGGCUGGUAAAAGGACAGCAUCAAGCUAGACAGUAUGACCGAUCUCCGAGAGAAAGGCUUCGAGGUUCUCUUUCCUUGGUUUGACUAAACCGGCACUCGAACACUGGGUAAGAAGAGAGGGGCUUUUUUCUCUGAUAGGGCCAACAUCUUCUCUGACAUUCAUUUUCCCUUUAUGGGUGAACCGUUCCUACAGCCCUUAUAUGAUUCCAGCUACUCACCCUUGGACCCGCGGACUUGGAACUAUUUAAACAUGACCUUUUCAAGGGCUCGAAAAAAAGGGCAUCAAACUCGUUGACUUCCGUGGAGGGACCUUACUACAUAAGGGCUAGAGACGCCUCAGACUCAGGAGAUUCUAUGAACUCCCUUCACUCUAUUUUAUCCUGGGUCGUCAACCGAAGCCGGAGGCUCCUUCCAGUCUCAAGCUGUGGUAUAGUCUCCUUUCCUCCUUCGUGCCCGACCCGGUCAGUAGGCGUCAGUGUCUAAUCCCUCCGUCUCGUUUCGUAGGAAUAUUGUAGUUAAAAAGUAAUUGCUCCCUAGAGGAACUGGUCUCGGAGCUUCAUGAGAUAGAUUCUAGGGCUCAUUUUCCUUCUUCGCUAUCGAGCCCCUGCAAUUACAGGAAAUACCUCAUCGAUACCUAAACCUAAAGUAAAGGAGCAAUCCCUACUGGAAUGAAUCCGUAUCGGCGCCUAAUCAGAAGAAGGGUCCCUGCUGGUGAGGGAGGAGUAGUUAAAUCCACGGUCUCUGGCAGCAACUAGUCUCGAACGGAAGGAGUUGUCUUGAAAGAGCCCAAACCAAAGGGCGAUGGCCAACCAAAGCCCUUUCCCUUUUAGCCUAAGCCAUCAUGAAAUCCAAGCCAUCGUUCACUCUUCAUUUCCCGUAGUUGAUAGAGAUUUCCCUUGUCAUUCAGGAAAGCCCUCGUACAGCCCACAACCAUUGUUCGGUAGUACCUUCGCCUCCUCUCCCUUCAGUCAAAUCUGCUUCAAACAAAACCUUUCUCUUCUUCAUUCGCUCGGUGGUCUUAGUAAAAGCCUUUCAUUUCCUUCCAAUACUCAAUUUCCGGUAAGGCAGACCCUCCAACCUCCCCAUUUCAUUCUCCCGUUUACCUUUCAAUCGUCAGUUAUUCCGCCAGCCUUGACCAAAGGAGGGGGAAGCGCGGCGUAAGCAAAGACCUUCGAAUAAGAACAGGGGCUCCUGACUCCGAAUCAAGGGAGUGGAGGUAAUCCGGGCGAAAUCAGAAAGUCAUUCAAAAUCAACCCCUCAAAGAGGAAUCAGUAUAAAAGUUACUCAUUUGGUCCCAUUAACAGAACAGCCACCUUUUUCUUUCUAAUAUUACAUAACAUAAAUAGAUUCUAUUUAUGUACAACAUAAUAAAAUAAGUUAAGGGUUCGACCCCUCUCCGAUAGCACGAAAGAACCCUUUCCAUUAAAAAAAGCUCCAAUUCGAAGGUGAACCAUAUAGAGGAGAGCUACUGUACUGGCUUUUUUUUGGGGGAGGUUGGUAUCCUAUAGAUUAUAGAUCCUGGUUACAUACAACAUUGUUCCUGGAAACUUUCUUCAAAGAUGAGCCUCGAGGAAUCUGCGAAGAUGUUCAUUUGACAUUUCCAUUAGGAGAAAAGCUGCAUUGGGCAUUUACACCAUUAAGAGAGGGGCUCGCUAAUGCGCAAAGGGUAACACCGGGGUCUGGUUGGGCUGAUCAAAGUAGUUGAUUCAGAAUCAUCCAGCAGGAAAACUAGCCCUGUAACUUUAUUUCUAAGAACAAAUAGGAAAGCGCGCUUAACCGAGGGCUGCAUUCCUGUUACAAAGUCCUUGUUAUGGCCUCGAUUUCGAAACCAAGAUCUAAGGAAUUAGAUUAUUCGGGCCAAAUCCCCCAUCAACCCCGAGUCACUACCUUUACCAUUGCAUUGGAUCUGGCGAUCCCAAUUAAGAAAGCGUUGGUCUUGGGUUUGGGUGCCCCAAGCAAAGCGGUCCAACCCCCUUCUUUGAUAAGCGAUACCUUUCUCUGUUCAAGUUAUAAGGCUGACGGAACCAAAUGCAUACCUUUUUGCUUCGUCAGCAGUAGUCCUUACUAGCCGAUGACCUAGCAUGAGUACGAACAAAGAACUUCUUCGAUCUGACCCUCAGUAAUCGCGGUGGAGCAUUCAUUAUUAUAAAUAGUCCUAUCUAUUCUUUUUGGAGAAAGACUUUUGCAAAGCCCUAUCCGGGGUUUGUAAAGCUCCCUGCCUACACGUGGUAAAGCUAAGAGCGAAAGAGUCGGUCGCAUAAGCGCAUAGAUCACUACAAGUUAAUUUCAUCCCAUGCAGAGUCUUGUCCGGCAGUAGGAAGACGGGAUCUCUCUGAAGAACAAAGUGGAGGUCCAGUCCCUAACAGAAAGAAAGCCCAACAAGGUGGAAUCAGCUGAAUUAUUAUUGUUUCAUCUUUUAUCGUACAGAUGAUAGGACGGGCCUCUUUCUAUGAUCAAAUAACUCGGUGGUUUCGGGAACGAAGCGAAUAGGGUAAGGAGCACAUCAUGCGAGCAGGGUUCUUGCCCGACCCAGGAGGUAAGAAUCAUCAAAUCAUCCAACACUCGUAUACUAUAUAUUAUACUAAGUAAGACCCGUGGUAUAGUAAUCAUAAUGGAAGCCCGGGCUAGCAAUAACUGGAGUGACUUCGACUGAGGGAGGUAGCUUGCUUCUUGACAAAGACCAAUAAGUAAUUAGAAGCUCAAGCUAAGCCCAAGUUAGUGAUAAUGAAUAGGGGUCAGAAGCUCAAACUCCAAAUAAUAAUAUAUUUAUAUUAUUUGAACAGAAGAACUUGAGCUUGAACAAAUAGACUCAAACUGCACGAGGGGGGAGGGGAGACGAUAGUGUCCCCGACCGGUCCAAUGGUGUCUAUGAAGAGUACAUAAGAAUGAGCGAAAUGCAAGAAAGUGAAUCGGUUGCGUGCCGAUCCUUACCUAUUUUCAGGGUCGACUUAAGGAUUAUCAGCGGCGACCACGAACCGCCUUGCUCCCGCAGAAAGACCUUCACCCUAUAGCUACCGAAGACCAUCACCUUCCGACAGGGUCCAUCUUUGAUAGGAACCCCGUUUUCUAUAUUCUAUGAUAUGAUCUUUCCUUUUUCUGCGGGUGUGAAAUAGGCUACGGCAACGAUGCGAAAAGAGUCUUUACCGAGCUUUUGAAGGAUAAGGGCUAUGCCCCAGCUGAAAUGAGACCUGUUUGUGCUAGGUAUAUUUGAUUCGGUGAGGGGGGAGUUCAGUUCGGGGUAGAGCUAAGGUACUCAUCCAAAUCCAGUAGAAAGAGCGCAUGAAGGCAGUUCCUUAUGCUUCAUAGCGGAGGAAGCCCCACGGAUGGCCCAGAGAGAGUGCGCUUGUAUGUCUUCGAUGCGAAAAAUGGCGUAGUAAAGUAGCCAGUCACUAAGAGUAGUGGGGCUAUCGCUUCCUCUAGUACUAGCUCUGAUCUCUCUUCAGCAGUUGCAGUACGAUUCUUUAAUUCAACUCCUGCCCUGCCGUAUAAGUCUUCAGUGUCUGGGGUAGCUUUUCCUGCGGUCUAUGGCCUAUCCGCCUUCCCUCUAGCUGCUAGCUCUAUAGGGGACUAGCAUCUCUUAGUUAAAGUUAAGCUGCUCUUUAUGGCUUCGGUGAAUCUCUCGUCCUGCUGUAUUGGUUUUAUGGUAACGCGUUCAUCUCUUGUUUGCUUUGUUUACCGCUUUCCGUAAUUAAGUACUUUCCCCUGUCAACUCCUGCUAACGGUCAUCGGGUAAGGCUAAUCGGUGGAAUCUCUCCCUUGUUGCUUCUUCGAUCCUGGGCCAUAUGUCCUCUUCAAGCUCUCCUGGUUGGGAAAGGCCGGGCGGAGCUGUGGAUGCUGAGUCCUUUCCUUUCCGAAGAAAAAGGAUUCACUAUCUCUGUCCCGAAGUCACUAUUUGAACCUGUGAGUACUUAAACUCUUUUGUACUCCAAACUGCCUCCAACCGGCUUUUUCUAUUAGGCUUCCAAUUCAAGCUGAACUGGUCGGGGAUCAGAGUGAGUGCUUUAGGACUAACCUAUCUUGCCUAUGUUGACCUAUUAUACCGAACCAGUUAUGUUAUUUCUUCGAAUUAGACCAAUCGACAUUCGUUUAUAUGCCAUGCCGCCUAUAAAGAAAGAUAAGAGCCUCUACUCUUUCAACAGCCAGAGAGCCCACUCAAUGAACAAAGUCUUUCUCUUUUGUGGAACGUGCACACAGAGGGUUAGUUGGGGAAGAAGAAGUUUCCCAUUCAGAGUAAGCUCUUUGAGACGCUAACUCGAUAUUGCAUAAGAGAAGAAAGAGGAAGAAGUGAGCUGUAGCCUUAGUCUUAGUACGCGCACUAGAAGGGGCUACCGAAUGCGCCAGUGACAAAAUAAAAUCUUGUUUGUGUGCCGCGAAGGGCCUACCCCUUGAAAAUGGAAGGGCAUGGAGAAGCGGAUUCCUACUUCUUAAUAGAAUAGCUUGAUCGACCACCAUCCUUAUUGACCUUCCCUCGGGUUGGUAUGCUUGUGUGUCAAGCAAUCCUGCUUCGGUAGCAGACUUCGGUCAAGGAAAUCGCUUCAAGCAAUGGCUUUGGAUCGACCUGACUUCUUAGAGAGGAAAGCCAGUGAAUGAAUGAAUGAAAUCCGUUGAAUGAAGAAGUCUUUAUGGCUCAAGCAGCUAGCGGACCUCCUUAAUUGAGAAAGUCAAGCAUGUCAGCACGCCCCCUACCUAUGUAGUCGGCUUCCCGGUAGUUUGCGGGACGCUAUUGGAAUCGGUCUAUCUAAAUGACCUAUCUCCAGAUGUAUGUAUUCUUGAAGUGCCUUUCUCAUAGUUCCCUUCCCGGGCAUUGAUUGAGAGGGAAUAGACUUCCCCACUGAACGAGGAAGGCAGCAAUCUCCUGGAGAUAGAAGGGCAAUCCCCAAAAGAAGCGGCCAGAGGAGACAUUCAUUAAUAACGGAUCUCGACCCCUCACCCGUACUGAUGGGAAUGACGGGCACUGCAUUUAUGCCGAAGCCGAGGAACUGAACCAAUUACUUUAAAGGCUGGCAUCCCGGACUGAUAAAGGAUCAACUAGGAAGACUGGGCAGAAAUCUUCUUACCCGCAGUAGCGACAAUCAGGAGCACUACUUCUAUAAGAUGAUUCUCGCCAUUUUCCUUACAAUAGGGGCAUUGACUUCAGUCUCAACUAGACCUAGACCCAAUAAAGCUCGAAAAAGCAGGAUUGCUUGAAUGGAAAGAACAAAAGGUAAAGGACAACCAAACGAAAGCGCUAACAGCAGAGGGCAGUAUCUAUAUUAUAUAUAGUAGAGCUCGCUUACCAGACGAAACCAGGCCUUUAAGGUAAGGCUGGAGUGGAAGGGAGAGUAGACCCGAGAGCUGCAAUAGUAAUUAGUAUUCUAGCACCAGCCCUUCUCGUAUCGAGACAAGACAGAGCGGGGAAAGCUGCCUUAUGUAGUUACCUGCUCUUUCAUCGAGAUUAGCGAAUUACGGUAGAAGAUCGGAGAGAAUCUGGUUCGAGGAGCCUAGCCUUCUUUGCUAUUAGUUUCAAUAUCUGCUGCUUUUGUUUGCGCCAACCCUCUUAGAAGGAAGAACUCUGGGGAACUUCCGGAUUAACUGAUUAAGGAGUUCCGGUCGAAAGAGAAAUGAGUUAGCGGGAAGAAGAUUAGCAGUACGAGGAGGCGAUUCAGCAAGCUAGCCACACCUCCAUCACUUGACACUUUCUUAUUCACACCGAAGAGAGAGUGCUAGACUAGUGCCCAAUGAAGACCCAAGCAAUGCAUCUCAAGCUCUCGCUUUCAGAGCAGAUGUGCGAGAAGUUUAAUUACGAAGCUAUGCUGAUAUCUAUCUAAGAGCUCAUAUUCAAAGGAAAGGGCGGACCUGGGACCUGUACUUUAUAAAGGAUGGAAUGGAGCCAAGGGAAGAAAACGAACAAGAAGCACACUUCAAGGUCACUCUCUGUCUUCUUGCCUGGAAUAAACUCACUCCAGUGCAGUGGGAGGACCCCCUCUAAUAGGAUGCUACUCGUACCUGUAGAAAGAAGAGCGAGAGCGGAAGAGUAGGAUUCGGUAACUAGGAAAUGCCCCAUGCUCGAGGAGAAGGAGACCGGAUAGAGAAGAACGGGGCACACUCCUCCCAUUAAGAGAAAGCACAGGGAAAUCUCAAUAUAACCAGAGUGACCCGGGAAAGAAAGACAUGACUCUAGUACGUCCCAAAGGCGGGUGUUGGUCUGUCAAGGAUGGACAUAGAUGCCCCCUUUUUUACUGAAAGUUGAUCCCAGUUGCCCAGAACGCCAGGUUCUAACAUAACAUCUAUUACUUUGAUACUUAAGAUUCCGUAACGAGUAGAUACUUCCGCAGAAACAUAAUCGAGAUUGGAUCUUGUACGAAGGUAGACUUCACACCUACCCCAUCUAGACGAUAAAUAGAUAAAUAAAUGGGUUUCUUGCGGGCAUUUGCCAGCUUGAUUCUGAGAAAGAGCUCGUCGGCCUGUUGGGGUUCUCUUAAGAUAUUUCGAAUCAACUUAACCCUAUUCAACAAACAGGUGAUUAUGUACAAAAAAGGCUUGUUAUUGAAUGGCCCCUCUUUGCAACUGAUUUCAUUCAUAUAAUCGGGUGUUAGUUCAUAGGUUUUUAAUCCUGCGUACUCCCGCAUAAAGAAUGAGCAACCGCAACCUGAAACAAUAUCUUAUUUAAGAAGAGCGCUUGCCACUCCUCUAGUGUGAUUUCCAUCGGAGAUAGAAAACCUCUUAUCUUAGGCAUAGACAAAGAUAGCAUCUUCGGUGCAAAAAGUCACAGAGAUUUCGUGCACGCACUAAAGAGGCCUCUAAUCGACACUCACUCCUAUGCAGGAGAUGCCACACUGACUGCUCUAGCAGAUAGGAUGAAGAAGGAAAGAACGAUUAUGGUAGAAAAGACUCUUGAGAGCUCGGCUAUAGAGCAAUUCUUCGACUAGGGAAAUGGGAGAAAGACCUUUCUUUCUUUAUUUAGGCAGGAAGAGCGAAAUGGUCUCUCGAUCCUAGGAGAAAAGAAAGAUUAGGAUACCGCCCUUCUCUCAUGACUUCGGAAUCGAGCCAAGGCCCACCUCUAAAGUGACGUAGACCCGGUCCCUAACGAAACUAAACUUGAGCAAUUUCCUUCGGUAUACCAUUGAUCCCUUUGGGAAGGUUAAAGUUGAAUCAUACCCAAUCGAAGAAUAGCCCUUCGUGACUCUCCCUCUGACCCUGGAAUUCAUUGAAUUGGACAAUUCCUAAUAAGCGCUAUAGCUCGAGCUAUAGCUUCUUCUCCUGUAUGUGGUAGUAUCUGCUGCUUGAGCUUAGGUAGUCUUUCGCGCAAUUGCGUGAAGCAUCUCGCUAUGCUACCUACACCUUCCUUUGGGCGAGGUCAGAUCUAGAGAGGAAAGGACUCAAAGCAAAGCUCCGCAAGGCAGGCAACAACUGUCACCAUUCCCGGGCGAAGGAAGGCUGGAGUGCUCUGAGGAGAUCUGAUUCUGGACAACUCCGAUUCGACUUCUUCAUGAGCUAGCCCGGUGCCAUAAACCAGCUGUUGUCAGGAUGUGGGAGGAAAAAGUAGUAAAUGAAUGUUCCAAAGCCAAAAGAGGCUGACAAGCAAUAGCCAAAUCAAUCCACCAGGGAAUGAAUCUUUUGAAUGGGCAUCCGUAACAACAGACGAAGAAAGCCUUUCUUCUAGGCGUAGGCGGGAAGAAGUUCCAAAAGGGCUCUGAGUCCUUAUAGGGGCUAUUAUACUCGGUUCCAAUGGCUUUUCCUAAAUAUCUAAUUUUCUGGAGCGAAACUUCCAUCUUGGAGGAAGGGUAGUUUGACACCCGUUGCAUAAAAGCUACUGGGGCAACCGUAAACAUAAAGCUAGAUAAGCAAAGGGAGAGGGAACUACGCUCCCAAGAAAGAGCAAAACCUCGCCAAGGCAUGCUAAAACCUAAACUGCGACGAUGGCUCCAAACCGGAUACGAAGCAAGCGAAAGCAAGCUAGCCAGGGAAGGGGGUUAGCACGGUAGCGGGCCUCCUCGGCCUUGACAGGCUCCCGUUGAUAUAGCCUUCUAAAAUGAGGAAGUUUUCUCUCUUCCUUCUCAACCCGGCCUUUACUUUAAGGAUGAGCGGCCAGCACGCAUAAUCGAAUGCUUCACUCGAAGGGCUACGCCAUAUAAAGAGGCUUCCCGCCACCUUGUCCACCUUCACGCCUAGGAAUUCCAUAAGGACCGGCUCACGACCGUCAUUCCGCAUUUGGUAGUUGGUCUGCCAUUGAGGCUAAGCCCUAUUUGAGACUAAGGCAGGCUUCUUUUGACUGCAUUUUUUCCUGCUUUCUUUGCGCCCUUUCCAACUAGUUAUAGAUUUCUUUAAUGCCUAUAAACUGGGACCAAGCCAAGUAAGUCCAUAGAUCGUCUGUUAAUCCUUCUUUGAAUCCCAGUUGUAUUAGUAUCCGUCGUCGUCUGGGGUUUUAACAUGACCAAAGUAAAAAAAGUCUUGUCCCAGUUUUGAAGCCUCGAAAAGUCUCUCUAUCUGGCUUUGUUAUUAUUACAGUGUCAUCUGCAACCAGCCGUAGAGAUAUGGAGAGAGGGGACAGCCUUGUUGCAGACCUUUGUUUGGUUCCUCUUAUGAACCCCACUGGUCGUCCAUGGAUCAUAGGUGCUAUUCAUUGUAUAUAAAAAAACUUUCGUAUCCUACUCUGCAAAUCCCAUUUUCCUGUCGCAUAUAGAAACCUAUGAUUAACAUUAUCAUAUGCCUGGUUUGGCGAGUUUAGUGAUCAUGGCUGGCUCACCUGAUCUAUCAGCUGACUAGUAAGCCUCCUUGGGAUAAUCAUCAAUAUCUCUUCCUAUCCAAAUGAGAUUAGGAGGGCGCCCUUUUUAAAGUUAAAGAGCCAGCGUGUCUUUCAAUCUAUUGGCAAUUACCUUAGUCAUUCUCUUAUACAGUGUAGUCCCCAUAGCAAUGGGCCUCGGUCUAGUGAGGUUUUGCUUUUUUGGGAAUCAUUGCCAGGAAGAAGGAUUGAAUUGCAUCUGGUUUGCUCCUGUUCGACUUCAAUUACCAUAUGGAGAUGGAGGUCGUCCUUAAUUAUGUUCCAGCACUACCCCUGAAUCUAUCAACCAAGUAGAAGUUUAAGUUCAGUUGGAAUCCAUCUAAUCUAGUAGCUUUUGACUAUGAGCAGCCCCUCUGUUGUUGAUAGAUAGCUUAAAAGAUUGAAUUGAAUCAUUUUUUUUGUGCCUCGGGGACUCUUUCAAAUAUUUGGUGGACUGCUCCUAUAUGCUGUUGGCUCGAUAAGAUGGAUAAGUGUGAUAACAAUUUCAUAACUUCUAUCCUUAUCUCCUCAUGCUGAACCAGAACCAGGCCUCUUGGGCAUUUUAAAAUGAUAAAAGUGUGGAUUCUGCCUUUCUUAAUAGAUGCGUGAAAAAAAGAAAAACCUUUUAACCACAACUGUCGAGAUUGUAGGCGCAGCGACUCCCCUACCCUUCUUGACUUAAAGCUGAGCUUCCAAUCUUCUAUACAUACAAGAGUUCUCUAUGUGUUCUGCAUGUGGUUCUCUCUCAAUUGCUCUUCCUUUUCCAAAAACGUGUUUUCUGCUUGUUUUGAAAUUUCAUUUACACAAUUGAAUUGACAAGAGGAAAGAAAAAUCAGUUAAUAAAUCCUAAACAAAAAGGUCCUAUGUAGGUUAUCGUUACAUUUUAGUUUAUAAACUAGAUUGAAAACUUCUUCAAAAAUCAAACUAAGAAAUAUAGUAGGUGAGUAAACUUGGCGCACCUACAAGAGCUCGAUAGAAUAGGGCUCUAUUCGAUCCGAUCCGUCCAGGUAAAGACCUUAACCUUUACUAUACCUUAUGAACCCUUGAGUCCUUUCUUUUAUGCGAGGAUGCAAGUGUAGGAUAGAUCUUUCCCAAAGUUCACUUUCUUUGUCGAGAUUGGGUUGGUGUUCAGUGUACUGGGUACAAGAUCGAAAAGAACCCUACCCUAUAUAUAAAUAUAAUAUAGGCAAGAGGCAAGGCAAGCGCUGUCCGUCUUCAUGGCCUCAAUAAGACGUGGUAUUGUACUGGCCCGUUUCGCAGCACGGAGUAUACCGUGAUCUCCGUUAGUUCCGUUUCGGCUUUUUCCCCAAUUUCCCACUCCUUCUGUGAGGCCUCACCACACUUCGACACAAGAGAAGAGGACCGGGCGCUUUGCUUGUCUUGUAUCUUCGGGAUACGAGUUGGCGGUCUUCUUUAAGAGAACUUCAAUCUAAUACUCGUUAUGGAUCAACUCGUUGCUGAUUUCGUUUCUAGGAUGGGUUUGGCUCUGCCUGUAGCUAUUCUUGUAGCCGUUAGGGCUGGCCGAAUGAUCCAUCAAAUGAAUAGUCAAAAUAUGGAAACAAAGGUAACUGAUCUAACGAUAGAUGUUGUUAAAGAGAAAAUCGUUGACCAACUCUCAAUUCUUUUGAGAGUCUAUAGAGAGACUACUGAGGAUGUGAACUUACCAACAGGAGUCAAUCUCCAAGAGGUAAGCGCACUUGGAGAAGCAAGAGUGAGCCUUCUACACAUACACAAUAUUAUAUUUAUUGUGAUCUUCUUUCUCAGGGAACGCAAAGUGAAUACUUUCUCCAAGUUAUACAAUUUCUUGGAGGGUAGUCUUUCUUUUUCUGAUGGUUCCUGACGUACUGGAGUUAUAACAUUUGAAUUUCUCUUACAUUCCACGUUCCCGAAAUGGAUCCUCUUAACUUAAAUAUUUCACAUUUUCGAAGCGACAGCUUACUUCGAUCUUUCAUAGAUUGAGUCUUUUCUUUCUUUUCAUUUUGACCUUUCUCAGUCUCUCUUAUUGUCUCUGUUUACUAAUCGAGGUGGAUUUGGAUCUCUUUCUUUGGAAAAUGAAAUCAAUGUUGCUAGGGAAAGUGAUGUCUUUAUUAAGGUUGCAUGGGAUGAUAGAACUUUUUCUUUUUUGUGGAGACCUCACUCUAGGGAACAUGAUGAUGUCAGAAGAAGGUUACGCCGCAUCAAGCUCGUAGGGGGGCGGCUCUUCGAAACGACCUCCUCUCGACAUCGACUUAAAUGCCCCGGAGCAGGAGCCUGCCCCUCAGUUGGAAUCGGGUAACGGAUGAGAUACGGAGGCGCCGAAAUUCUGGAGUUGGAGCAAGAACGUCAAAGAAUCGUCGAAGCUUCUGCCCAACAGGAGGAGAGAAGGCGAGCCCAAGAAGAGCGGGAUUGGCAAUUUCAUUUUGAAAGGAGGAAAGUAGCCCGUCUGAGGGUAGAAAACGAACGACUAAGAUUUCGAAUCAAUUAGAAUAGAUAUGGGCAGGAUAUGACGAUUCCGACAAGGACAAUUCUUUCGUCGCGCCUAAUCUUGAUUCACUAUUUCCAUUUUUUUUGACGACAAGUUUAAGUUUUAAAUCUUAAUGCAUUUUGUUUUCGUAGACGAGUGAGCAGAGCCCAUGAAAUAAGGAAGCCCGUCAUAGAGCAGUCGACUAGAAGUAGAAGACUGCUGGCCUGAGAGAAGGCGACCUCUCUCGGGAAACAUGUCCAAAUUUCUCUUCUUUCUUUUUGAUUUCGGGUUUCUUUUUCAGGGGCCCAGAACGCUAAAAGGUGGUUGGAGAAGGAAACCGAACCUCUAAUCGACCUGGACACAUAAUUCUUGGCGUCGAGAGAGAUUUGAGAUUCCGUAAGUAACUCAGUGAGUGCUUUCGAAGAAAGGGGAAAAUUAAAUAGGAACAACCGCGCUGGUCGUACGAAAGUAGUUCUCAGUCGUAUCAUGGCUCGUUUUUCCCGGUUUACUACUAUGGUUCUAGUUUUUAUCUCAUUUCUUCCUAUUAUGUCUCUAUUCUUCUGGGCUGGGAUGGGACUGGAAUUUCUUUCAGGCCUUCCUUUCGAAGGCUCUAAUCUCCACCGGAGCCCGCGCCCUCUUGUCUAAAUUAGGAUUUGCAGAGCUCUUCCUUAUUCUUUUUUUUGGGGGGAUCAAAUGGUCUCUCCAUCGGGAGAUGCGCAUGGGUGCUCUGCGCUUUCGAAUCCUAUGGAAGCGCACCAGCCCGACAACGUGCCGGCGCAGGCGCCUGUUGCAAAUCAACCGGUCGACCUUAACCGGACACCGAGUCCUAACCCGAUGCUUUCCUUACUAAUGGACCAACUUGAAGAGGCAAACAGGGACCUCGAAAUUUUGGAGAGUAGACCCCCCACCACUCCAGCCGAAGUUCGGGCCAACUUAGAGGAAGUGAGGGUUUUAGGGGAGCGCAUUGACCAAAUUAUUGAGCGAAUCAAUGAAUGCCGGGCCCUGGAUGAGGUUAGACGAGAGGAAGAUGCCCAAAGCGGAAGUCGAGGCUCAGGCGUGACGGGUCGACCCAACUAUACGGGGCCGCUUCGAGGAGACCCGAGCUCGAAGACAGGCCUUCCGAGAAAGACUUCCCAUUCUCCAACAAGAGAAUUGGGAGCAAUUCAACCGGGAUCGGGGGAAACAUAGGUAAUUCUUUCUUCCUAUAAUCCUGCCUGGGGAUAAGAUAAGGUUAAUCUUCUCCCUGGGCGCGGAUCGAAGACCCCUCUUGGAGAUGUCGAGGAGUGAAAAGGCAGGAUCGCUUGGUAAGCAAGCAAGCAGGCGCCAACUCCCAAUUCUUUCUUUUUUUAUGAAAUCGUGUACAACAACCUUAACCGCACAAGCCGGGACUGGGCCUACCUCCAUCCCUAUCCCUAGAGGAGCCGUAUGAGGCGGAAGCUCCACGUACGGUUUUGAAGCCGAGCCUUUCCAGCAAUGGGGCUUAGGGGCCGAUAUGAUGAUUGGUUUAGGUAAGGCGGCCGGCCUACUACGGGCACCUGUAGGGAUUAGUGCGUGAGACCGCGAUCCACAAACUGACGCAUGGGACUCACCCUUUACUUGGAAAUAAAGAGGGGAAAGAUAGCAUGUCACAAGAGCGAGGCGAGGUCUGGAACCCUACUGCGAGAGGGACGCCUCGUGAGCCGGGCUUCUAGAGAUGAGGCCUUUUGGCGAAGCCAAGUCAAUUUCGGGCCACCAAACCCUGCAACUGAUGAGAAGGCCCUAUGGAGUAAAGGGAAGCGUGUACGUUGUCACACUCCCGGCCUUCCAAAGGUGCCUAGAGGACGGGCCAGACGCAGCAGAGCGACAACCCGGGAGCGGAUUCCCCACCGGCAGGGGGGCAGGAGACGGCCAUCUCGAGGCACAUCACGACCUACAGGCAAGAUCGGCGAGACCUGGGAAGGCAACCCAGCCCGAUUGAGAGUCAGAGGAUCCAUAGUACCUGCAGCCCCACAGACUUCAUAUUCAACAUUUUUUAAAGCGGGGGGAAGGGAUCUCUUUUCUGCAAUGGAAAAAAAGGAGCAGAUUUGACUCGGCACAACCUAACGAUACAUCCAAUACCAAUGAUCUGCGCCGCGUUGCUAGAUCUCUGCGAGAAUUUAAUAAGAGAAGAAAGCGUAGAAAGAGGUUCAGAAGUACUUCCCCCGGUUCUACCAGGUAAGAAGGUCAAAUGCUCUUCUUUAAGUAAGUAAGGGAGUAGACUUUUUGAUUCCAACGCACUUCACUCUUGGCCAGACGCCAGCGACGAAUGGCGUCAAUAGUCGCAUAGAGCCUUUCAAGGGCAACCUUUGGGAAGAGCAAGGUCUUGUAGAAGUUUUUCGCCUUAGCACCCCCCGAAUUCCUUUCAACCCCAAUAUUUAAAUAGAGGGGCUUGGGUCUGGUCUACUACCAGCAAGGCCCCACUUACUUUCUUUUUUAUUUGAAUUUAUCUUAGUAAAGAAAUAAAGAAUGUCGGAUCUAGUACUUACCUAUCUUAUUUCCCUUCUUUCAGCAGCUGCUUUACCACUGAGUGUUUUUAUAGUCGCUAGCUGGCGAGUCGCGAGGCUUCGCCAGUUAACGAUGGCCUCUUACCAGGAGCGAGUGGACGAAAGCGUCGCCGAAACAAUAAAGGAACAGCUUAGUGAUAGGCUCUCCAUUAUUGAACUCUAAUCAUAUAAAUCUUCCACCUGGAAGAACGGCGUAUGACAUAAUAGACCGCUUGGUACCGGGGAAUGAUAUAGAAUUACUCUCUUCCAUAUAUACAGAUUUGGCUCAACUAGGCAUUCAAAGUGAGUAUUACCUCCAAUUACUCCAAGUUAUUAAUUCUUUUUGGUGAUGUUUUGAUCUUAUUCGUAUUCCGAUCGAAAAAAGAAGGUUUCAGUUACGGUGGGUGGGAAAGCUGGAGGGGAUCCCAGUGGUUAGAGUAACUGGCCUAUAAGGUUAGUGAGGUUCCUGCUAUGGUGAAGUGAAAGAUCUUUCACUUUAGUGGGAAGAAGACAGGUGGGAGCGAGCGGAGCGAGAGCAAAGCAAGCUCUAGUGGUGGGGUGUUUUCCUGGUCCCAUU
This is a long non-coding RNA of Populus euphratica (Euphrates poplar), 20167 nucleotides long. RefSeq lists it as uncharacterized. The transcript is spliced from 2 exons. NCBI's taxonomy places the organism in Eukaryota, Viridiplantae, Streptophyta, Magnoliopsida, Malpighiales, Salicaceae. The record is from RefSeq and is a predicted model, not a curated record.